UACAGAGGUCCCAAGCGUUGUUCGGAUUCACUGGGCGUAAAGGGUGCGUAGGCGGCCAACUAAGUCAGACGUGAAAUCCCUCGGCUUAACCGGGGAACUGCGUCUGAUACUGGAUGGCUUGAAUCCGGGAGAGGGAUGCGGAAUUCCAGGUGUAGCGGUGAAAUGCGUAGAUAUCUGGAGGAACACCGGUGGCGAAGGCGGCAUCCUGGACCGGCAUUGACGCUGAGGAGCGAAAGCCAGGGGAGCAAACGGG
RNAcentral lists this ribosomal RNA (253 nucleotides) under uncultured bacterium. RNAcentral describes it as "partial 16S ribosomal RNA". It matches the Rfam family "Bacterial small subunit ribosomal RNA", at positions 524 to 776 of the family's 1533-position model. The record is from RNAcentral.